GAUGAACGCUGGCGGCGUGCCUAAUACAUGCAAGUCGAACGCUGAAGCUUGGUGCUUGCACCGAGCGGAUGAGUUGCGAACGGGUGAGUAACGCGUAGGUAACCUGCCUCUUAGCGGGGGAUAACUAUUGGAAACGAUAGCUAAUACCGCAUAAAAGUCGAUAUCGCAUGAUAUUGAUUUGAAAGGUGCAAAUGCAUCACUAAGAGAUGGACCUGCGUUGUAUUAGCUAGUUGGUUAGGUAACGGCUCACCAAGGCGACGAUACAUAGCCGACCUGAGAGGGGGAUGGGCAACACUGGAAAUGAGAAGCGGGCCGGGCUCCUAGGGGAGGCAGAAGUAGGGAAUGUUCGGAAAGGGGAGAAAGCCUGACGGAGCAACGACGCGUGAGUGAGGAAGGUCUUCGGAUCGUAAAACUCUGUGAGUAGGGAAGAACAAAUGGGUAAGUAACUAUGCACGUCGGGACGGUACCUAAUCAGAGAGCCACGGCUAACUACGUG
This 496-nucleotide ribosomal RNA is filed under the name uncultured bacterium. Its description in RNAcentral is "partial 16S ribosomal RNA". It matches the Rfam family "Bacterial small subunit ribosomal RNA", at positions 28 to 507 of the family's 1533-position model. The record is from RNAcentral.